UACGGAGGAUGCAAGCGUUAUCCGGAUUCACUGGGCGUAAAGCGCAUGUAGGCGGCUGGACAAGUCGUGUGUUAAAGCCCCUGGCUCAACUGGGGGAGGUCAUGCGAGACUGUACGGCUGGAGGGCAACAGAGGCACGUGGAACUCCCGGUGUAGCGGUGGAAUGCGUAGAUAUCGGGAGGAACACCAGUGGCGAAGGCGACUACCUGGCCUGUUUCUUGACGCUGAGGCGCGAAAGCUAGGGGAGCAAACGGG
Molecule: ribosomal RNA, 254 nt
Filed under: uncultured bacterium
Lineage: Bacteria
Description: partial 16S ribosomal RNA
Rfam family: Bacterial small subunit ribosomal RNA
Source: RNAcentral